UCCGACUUAACGUCGGCAGUCUCUCUAGAGUGCCCAACUAAAUGCUGGCAACUAAAGACAAGGGUUGCGCUCGUUGCGGGACUUAACCCAACAUCUCACGACACGAGCUGACGACAGCCAUGCAGCACCUGUCUGGCGGCCCGAAGGCGGACCCAUUUCUGGGAUCCUUCCACCAGAUGUCAAACCCAGGUAAGGUUCUUCGCGUUGCAUCGAAUUAAACCACAUGCUCCACCGCUUGUGCGGGCCCCCGUCAAUUUCUUUGAGUUUUAACCUUGCGGCCGUACUCCCCAGGCGGGAUACUUAACGCGUUAGCUUCGGCACUGAAGGGGUCAAUACCUCCAACGCCAAGUAUCCAUCGUUUAUGGCGUGGACUAC
RNAcentral lists this unclassified non-coding RNA (375 nucleotides) under uncultured Pseudobdellovibrionaceae bacterium. RNAcentral's name for it is "uncultured Bdellovibrionaceae bacterium contains 16S-23S intergenic spacer region". The record is from RNAcentral. Lineage: Bacteria; Pseudomonadati; Bdellovibrionota; Bdellovibrionia; Bdellovibrionales; Pseudobdellovibrionaceae.